UCAUGGCAAUCCAGUGCCAGGUCUACCAAGCCCUAUGCGAGUUUGCUGAUUCGGCCCUUGGUAUCUGCCUUGCAAGAUGUUUAUGCAUAAAUGUACCUCCCCUGAAAUUGGACACCUCUGUGUUUCCUACACUCUGGCCGCCGUCAUUUUGUUCUGAAACUAGGAGCUUUUUGCAUCAAAUUUGGAGCUAGUACCUUUUUGCAUCAAAUUUGGUUUCCGUUGCUCGCGAAGUGAGGUAGUGAUGUAUUGCUGAACACAUUUUGAAUGCUGAUAAGUUAUACUCAGUUAACCUGAUGGCUUCCGUGAGAUACAUAAACAUAUUCCGAUUUGACCCGAUGAUGUUUAGUAAUAAUAGGCGCUGGCUUCCAGUGUUUAAGCCUUG
RNAcentral lists this long non-coding RNA (382 nucleotides) under Triticum aestivum (bread wheat). RNAcentral's name for it is "long non-coding RNA (TAES_LNC027124)". The record is from RNAcentral. Lineage: Eukaryota; Viridiplantae; Streptophyta; Magnoliopsida; Poales; Poaceae.